CCUACGGGUGGCAGCAGUGAGGAAUAUUGGUCAAUGGGCGCGAGCCUGAACCAGCCAAGUAGCGUGAAGGAUGACUGCCCUACGGGUUGUAAACUUCGUUUAGAAAGGAAUAAAGUGAGGCACGUGUGCCUUGUUGUAUGUAUUUUAUGAAUAAGGAUCGACUAACUCCGUGCCAGCAGCCGCGGUAAUACGGAGGAUCCGAGCGUUAUCCGGAUUUAUGGGGUUUAAAGGGAGCGUAGAUGGGUUGUUAAGUCAGUUGUGAAAGUUUGCGGCUCAACCGUAAAAUUGCAAUUGAUACUGGCAGCCUUGCGUACAGUUGCGGUAGGCGGAAUUCGUGGUGUCGCGG
RNAcentral lists this ribosomal RNA (346 nucleotides) under uncultured bacterium. RNAcentral describes it as "partial 16S ribosomal RNA". It matches the Rfam family "Bacterial small subunit ribosomal RNA", at positions 338 to 681 of the family's 1533-position model. The record is from RNAcentral.